GCUAGGAUGAACGCUAGCGGCAGGCUUAACACAUGCAAGUCGAGGGGCAACGCGAGUAGCAAUACUUGGCGGCGACCGGCGCAAGGGUGCGUAACGCGUGAGCAACAUGCCCGUAUCAGGGGGAUAAUCCAGGGAAACUUGGUCUAAUACCCCAUAGUAAUUUUGUAAGGCAUCUUAUAAGAUUUAAAGCUUUGGUGGAUACGGAUUGGCUCGCGUGACAUUAGCUGGAUGGUAAGGUAACGGCUUACCAUGGCUAUGAUGUCUAGGGGUUCUGAGAGGAAGGUCCCCCACACUGGAACUGAGACACGGUCCAGACUCCUACGGGAGGCAGCAGUGAGGAAUAUUGGACAAUGGAUGGAAAUCUGAUCCAGCCAUGCCGCGUGAAGGAAGAAGGUCCUAUGGAUUGUAAACUUCUUUUGUAUGGGAGCAAUAAGGCCUACGAGUAGGUUGAUGAGAGUACCAUACGAAUAAGCACCGGCUAACUCCGUGCCAGCCGCCGC
This 500-nucleotide ribosomal RNA is filed under the name uncultured bacterium. Its description in RNAcentral is "bacterial SSU rRNA". It matches the Rfam family "Bacterial small subunit ribosomal RNA", at positions 26 to 518 of the family's 1533-position model. The record is from RNAcentral.